CCGCAUAAACUCGUCCCACUGCAGCCCCGGAAGCCAGGAGGUGCGGCUGAGGCAUCUUUGUGACGGAGCGGGCUCCGCGGUAUCCACCGCGUCCACAACCGAGAGCGGAGCGGCCGGGUCUGCCCAGCAUGUCGGAAGCUGGUGAGGGAGAGAGGAGCAUGGAGACCACGGACACCCCCAAAAUGGACACAAGGCCGCUCCCGUAGGCGGAUCGCCCGCCCGGACCCGGGAGUCCUCAACCUGGAGCCAGAAGGCCACGGAGGCAGACCAGAUGACCUGCGGCGGGAGCCCGGAGGACGCGGGGCAGGUGCUGCGGGGGGGUUGGGGGGCGGUCUUGGUUCAACGUCGUCGGGGAGCUGCCUGGAGGAGAGCGCAAGUGACCGAGAGGAAGAUAAAUAGUUCGUUGGUGGCCUGAGCUGGGAUACAAGCAAAAAGGAUCCAAAAGACUAUUUUACCAAAUUUGGAGAGGUCCUUGACCAUACUAUAAAAAAUGGAUCCCAACAUUGGAAGAUGAAGAGGGUUGGGGUUUAUCCCCUUUAAAAAUGGAGAAGCAUAUCAGCCUAGGGAUGAGCCAAAUCAUGGCAUCAAGAGGGAACUAGCUCUUACGUACUUUGGCUUGAAAAUGGAGUUUCAAAUAGUGGGCUUGGUAUCUAUGAGGAUUUAACGAAACUGCUGAAAUCAUAAAACAAAAGGUUGUUGAUAUUUUUUCCAAAUGCAAACUCAUCUAUCUGCAUACUUAUCAGACAGUACAAAUGUAAAUUUUGGCAAAUUCCAUACAGUCUAUAAACUUCUUAACAGGGAUAAUGAAAAGAUCUUACCUAUUCAAUGACCUGCACAUCUUAUAUACAACAACACUAAAAAGGGUUGUGAUUGCUUAAAUGUGAUAUUGAGAUUUUCAUAAUGAAAGUUUGUGGUCAUUUUUAUCAAAUGCAAAGAAGCACUUAAUGAGUUUUUUUAUUUAAUAGAAAUGGAAGGAGAUAACCUCUGUAGACAUGUGCCUACAAGAUGGGCAUCAUUGCUCCCAGCCAUAGAAACCAUGCUAAAAUAUUGGCUACCAUAAAAUCAUAUUUUCAAAGUGUGGGACAAGAAUAAUAUCCUUUUUGAUUUGAAAAUAUAUCGAGGAUGAGAGUGGAGAAAAGGACUACAGUAAGAUAGAAGUUUAUAUGCUCUUUGCCAGCACUGUUUGAUGGUCUUUGAAGAGGCCAUAAAGAGCCUGUAAAAAGAAUAACAUGGCUGCACCUGAGCUGUUCGAUAUGAUUGUUCCCGAAUUAAAAAAAAAAAAAAAGUCAACAGAAAAGGGAAGCCAAGUGAAACAGUACCUUCUUAAUUUCUUUACUAGAACUGUACCUUAUUUGGAAUCCAACUUCGGUUUCACCAGUUCUGAGCUUUAAAACCAUUUUCCCUGAGAAGAUGUUUAACUUACGAUGACAUCCAGUGUGCUUCAGAGCAUUUAAAAAUGACAUAUUUUAUUCCCUGGCCAGUUUGGCUCAGUGGAUAAAGCAUCAGCCUGCAGACUGAA
Long non-coding RNA from Myotis davidii, 1519 nucleotides. RefSeq lists it as uncharacterized. Lineage: Eukaryota; Metazoa; Chordata; Mammalia; Chiroptera; Vespertilionidae. The transcript is spliced from 3 exons. The record is from RefSeq and is a predicted model, not a curated record.